This 790-nucleotide ribosomal RNA is filed under the name uncultured archaeon. RNAcentral's name for it is "bacterial SSU rRNA". It matches the Rfam family "Archaeal small subunit ribosomal RNA", at positions 21 to 812 of the family's 1478-position model. The record is from RNAcentral.
GGUCACUGCUAUCGGUGUUCGUCUAAGCCAUGCGAGUCAUAUGUUCUUCGGAACAUGGCGUACUGCUCAGUAACACGUGGAUAACCUGCCUUUGGGUCUGGCAUAACUCCGGGAAACUGGGGAUAAUACCGGAUAACGCAUAUCUGCUGGAAUUCUUUAUGCGUGAAAUGGAUUCGUCUGCCCAAGGAUGGGUCUGCGGCCUAUCAGGUAGUAGUGGGUGUAAUGUACCUACUAGCCGACGACGGGUACGGGUUGUGAGAGCAAGAGCCCGGAGAUGGAUUCUGAGACAUGAAUCCAGGCCCUACGGGGCGCAGCAGGCGCGAAAACUUUACAAUGCGGGAAACCGUGAUAAGGGGACACCGAGUGCCAGCAUUAUAUGUUGGCUGUCCGGGUGUGUAAAAUACACCUGUUAGCAAGGGCCGGGCAAGACCGGUGCCAGCCGCCGCGGUAACACCGGCGGCCCGAGUGGUGAUCGUGUUUAUUGGGUCUAAAGGGUCCGUAGCCGGUUUGGUCAGUCCUCCGGGAAAUCUGACGGCUUAACCGUUAGGCUUUCGGGGGAUACUGCCAGACUUGGAACCGGGAGAGGUAAGAGGUACUACAGGGGUAGGAGUGAAAUCUUGUAAUCCCUGUGGGACCACCUGUGGCGAAGGCGUCUUACCAGAACGGGUUCGACGGUGAGGGACGAAAGCUGGGGGCACGAACCGGAUUAGAUACCCGGGUAGUCCCAGCCGUAAACGAUGCUCGCUAGGUGUCAGGCAUGGCGCGACCGUGUCUGGUGCCGCAGGGAAGC